This is a non-coding RNA of Cucurbita moschata (crookneck pumpkin), 72 nucleotides long. Lineage: Eukaryota; Viridiplantae; Streptophyta; Magnoliopsida; Cucurbitales; Cucurbitaceae. The record is from the annotation of a RefSeq genome assembly.
GACAGUUUGGCCGAGUGGUCUAAGGCGCUAGACUUAGGCUCUAGUCCGAAGGUUCAAAUCCUACGACUGUCA